RNAcentral lists this non-coding RNA (30 nucleotides) under Rattus norvegicus (Norway rat). Lineage: Eukaryota; Metazoa; Chordata; Mammalia; Rodentia; Muridae. The record is from RNAcentral.
UGUGCAGAUACGCUGCUGGAGAGGUAGCUG